GUAUGUUGGGGUUGUUUUGAACGGAGCAUGGAUGGUGUAGCGACAUGGUGCAAGUUUGGAUUUGUGCAAAAUGAGUGGACGAACACAUAUCGCAAUUGCGGUACAGGUGACGGCACGGUCAAAGGAAUGCGUUGUAUGUGAGGUGUAUGUACUAAACUGAAUGGAUGCGUGGCUACAUAAAGUUCUGGCUUAAUGAAUGGGAUAUCCUGGUUGAUCGUUUCGGGCUCUUUUGGAUCAUGAGACGGUGUUGUGAGGAAGAGCGAUAAGUGAUGGCAAAGACCUCUAGUGCAUAUGACAAACGUGACAGAGAACAGUCUGCAAAUCUGCAAGCCCAAAAACGACUUCGGCCAAGAAAGUAGAGAAACGCUACAAAAAUGUUGGUGAUAUUUGAGCAUCGCAGAAUGAUGAAAAAUCGAUAUGAAUAUCAGAUAUAUUGUACAUUUUAUCAAAAAUCACUUAAAUUCGGACAACGCCGUAACAGCUGCAUUUUGUCAGCAAGGGCAAAGCCAUUUGUUCCCUUUCACUCUCUAGUAACUAUGUCACUUUCCCUUCUAACAAAGUAGACCUACCAUACCAGGUAACGCGACUUCCAGGAAUUGUGCCGUUUUUUCUACUGCAGGAACACAAACAAGGAUGUCAAUCGAUUAAUGACCCGAAACGCGAUGCUACGCACAACUACGGCCCCAAGGAGUAACCCUUUACAUGUCCCAAAAUAAAAUACACCCUUGGCCUAUUCACAAUAACCAGUUCAAUGUUCAGUUUGUAGUAUAUUUGUACUACA
Ornithodoros turicata is the source of this 781-nucleotide long non-coding RNA. RefSeq lists it as uncharacterized. The record is from RefSeq and is a predicted model, not a curated record. Lineage: Eukaryota; Metazoa; Arthropoda; Arachnida; Ixodida; Argasidae. The transcript is spliced from 4 exons.